Anser brachyrhynchus (Pink-footed goose) is the source of this 1614-nucleotide long non-coding RNA. Lineage: Eukaryota; Metazoa; Chordata; Aves; Anseriformes; Anatidae. The record is from Ensembl.
AUGGCAGCGGGGCCAGCCCUGGGGGCCAGGGCCCGCAGGGGGUCUGCGGUGUCCCUGGCGGGGUGGGCAGCCUCCAGCAGGCCUGGAGAGCCGAGCAGCCCCGAAGGAGCUCCCCGGGGCCGGGGAAGUUUCCUGUUUGCUGCCCGCGCUGAAGCAUCGGCCCCGCAACCGCUGCCGGGCCCGCGCUUCCGGCCGGGGCUCCCGCCCGGAGCCCCCCUGCACUAUCAGCUCGCCAGAUGCCUUUUUCAGGAUACUGUGGUAAAACUGUGCCGGGCAGGCGCUGUCAUUUGGGGUUUUCUCUCGUGUCAGCCUCGAAGACAAAUUGGGCAAGGAGGAGCAAGAGGGGAAAGAAAAAAUAAAAUUAAAAAAAAAAUAAUAAAUAGAAGAAAGGAAGAUGCCGGCUGCCAUCCGUCGGCGGGGCCGGCCCGUGUGGCGGCAUGGCGAUGGGUCCCCCAAGCGGCGUGGCGGCGGUGGGCAGCGUGGUGGCAGGACCGGGCGGCCGCCAUGGCGGCAUGGCCUCCCCGGGCGCUGUCGGCCUCUAGUGGCGGCGGUGGCCGCGUGGUGUCAUGGCGGUGCUGCAGGCCCCGUGGGUCCCAGCAGCGCCACGGGGCCUUCUGCCUUCCCUCCUGGUGGGGCUGUCUGUUCUGGAUGUGGCCUCUGGGUGCUGCCACCUCCAGAACGUCAUCCUCCACCAGGACAUCAUCCUCUACCAGGACAUCAUCCUCCACCAGGACAUCGUCCUCCAUCGUGAUACCAUCAUUCAUCAUCCAUCACCCUCCGGAGGGACGUGGCCCACCCUGCGAUGACAAGGGAGCAGGAGCGCCAUGCACCUGCCUGUCCCCGUGUAGCACCCAGCAGCACCCAGGCAGGACAGGGUGCCCCAAAGCAUCUGCAGUGCCCUCAUGGCUGCUGCUCUGGGGCCGCCUGGUGGUGUUGGGCAUCCACUGUACUGGGCAGACUGGGAGCUGGUGGUGGGAAGGCAGCGGUGACAGUGCAGGGAAAUCUGUCUGUCUGCGGAGCUGCGCAGGGGGCUGUCAGAGCCACCGUGGGGCUGGGGGGCCCACAGCGCUGGCACAAGCAUGGUUUCCACUGUGGGAGAGCGGAGAGUGCCCAGGAGAAGAUGUCCUUGGGGACCCAGAGGUGCAGAAGUGCCAGCCGUCCUACAGCAGAGCAGUAGACGGUGUGGAUGGUGGCACUGGGGACAGCAGUGACCAGCAGGCAGCACAGGCAGCCGUGUGCCACCCCUGCCAGGCAGGCAGCCGUGCUGAGCCAGAGACCCGAAAUCAUGGCUGCUCGCUUUUGCUGGCAAAUCUUGCGUUUGUGUGGUUUCCUUUUCCUUCUCCUACGUACUCCUUUUUCCUUCUCUCUUCAUGUUGUUCCCUUUCCUGUGGAGGCAAAUUUCAGCCCUUCCAACCUUUGGGUUCCAAACUCUGCACAAGAGCAAAACUAAUCAGGGAGUCCCAGCAGGGCUCAGCGUUAAUUACCCAUGAGAUGCUAAUCUGCUGGAGGGUCUCGAGUGCUCCUUCAGCCGAGCCGUCCUUUUCCUUCUGCUCUGCAAUUCCCCUGGCAGAUGCCUGCCGACUCCCCACAGCCUACCCAGGCAAUUUGUGCUGA